RNAcentral lists this ribosomal RNA (429 nucleotides) under uncultured Pseudomonas sp. Its description in RNAcentral is "bacterial SSU rRNA". It matches the Rfam family "Bacterial small subunit ribosomal RNA", at positions 954 to 1382 of the family's 1533-position model. The record is from RNAcentral. Lineage: Bacteria; Pseudomonadati; Pseudomonadota; Gammaproteobacteria; Pseudomonadales; Pseudomonadaceae.
AAGCAACGCGAAGAACCUUACCAGGCCUUGACAUGCAGAGAACUUUCCAGAGAUGGAUUGGUGCCUUCGGGAACUCUGACACAGGUGCUGCAUGGCUGUCGUCAGCUCGUGUCGUGAGAUGUUGGGUUAAGUCCCGUAACGAGCGCAACCCUUGUCCUUAGUUACCAGCACGUUAUGGUGGGCACUCUAAGGAGACUGCCGGUGACAAACCGGAGGAAGGUGGGGAUGGCGUCAAGUCAUCAUGGCCCUUACGGCCUGGGCUACACACGUGCUACAAUGGUCGGUACAAAGGGUUGCCAAGCCGCGAGGUGGAGCUAAUCCCAUAAAACCGAUCGUAGUCCGGAUCGCAGUCUGCAACUCGACUGCGUGAAGUCGGAAUCGCUAGUAAUCGUGAAUCAGAAUGUCACGGUGAAUACGUUCCCGGGCCUU